RNAcentral lists this ribosomal RNA (1314 nucleotides) under Bacillus licheniformis. RNAcentral describes it as "bacterial SSU rRNA". It matches the Rfam family "Bacterial small subunit ribosomal RNA", at positions 151 to 1458 of the family's 1533-position model. Lineage: Bacteria; Bacillati; Bacillota; Bacilli; Caryophanales; Bacillaceae. The record is from RNAcentral.
GGGAAACCGACGGCUAUACGGAUGCUGAUGACCGCAUGUCAUCUAAAGGUGGCUUUUAGCUACCACUUGCAGAUGGACCCGCGGCGCAUUAGCUAGUUGGUGAGGUAACGGCUCACCAAGGCGACGAUGCGUAGCCGACCUGAGAGGGUGAUCGGCACACUGGGACUGAGACACGGCCCAGACUCCUACGGGAGGCAGCAGUAGGGAAUCUUCCGCAAUGGACGAAAGUCUGACGGAGCAACGCCGCGUGAGUGAUGAAGGUUUUCGGAUCGUAAAACUCUGUUGUUAGGGAAGAACAAGUACCGUUCGAAUAGGGCGGGACCUUGACGGUACCUAACCAGAAAGCCACGGCUAACUACGUGCCAGCAGCCGCGGUAAUACGUAGGUGGCAAGCGUUGUCCGGAAUUAUUGGGCGUAAAGCGCGCGCAGGCGGUUUCUUAAGUCUGAUGUGAAAGCCCCCGGCUCAACCGGGGAGGGUCAUUGGAAACUGGGGAACUUGAGUGCAGAAGAGGAGAGUGGAAUUCCACGUGUAGCGGUGAAAUGCGUAGAGAUGUGGAGGAACACCAGUGGCGAAGCGACUCUCUGGUCUGUAACUGACGCUGAGGCGCGAAAGCGUGGGGAGCGAACAGGAUUAGAUACCCUGGUAGUCCACGCCGUAAACGAUGAGUGCUAAGUGUUAGAGGGUUUCCGCCCUUUAGUGCUGCAGCAAACGCAUUAAGCACUCCGCCUGGGGGAGUACGGUCGCAAGGACUGAAACUCAAAGGAAUUGACGGGGGGCCCGCACAAGCGGGUGGAGCAUGUGGUUUAUUCGAAGCAACGCGAAGAACCUUACCAGGUCUUGACAUCCUCUGACAACCCUAGAGAUAGGGCUUCCCCUUCGGGGGCAGAGUGACAGGUGGUGCAUGGUUGUCGUCAGCUCGUGUCGUGAGAUGUUGGGUUAAGUCCCGCAACGAGCGCAACCCUUGAUCUUAGUUGCCAGCAUUCAGUUGGGCACUCUAAGGUGACUGCCGGUGACAAACCGGAGGAAGGUGGGGAUGACGUCAAAUCAUCAUGCCCCUUAUGACCUGGGCUACACACGUGCUACAAUGGGCAGAACAAAGGGCAGCGAAGCCGCGAGGCUAAGCCAAUCCCACAAAUCUGUUCUCAGUUCGGAUCGCAGUCUGCAACUCGACUGCGUGAAGCUGGAAUCGCUAGUAAUCGCGGAUCAGCAUGCCGCGGUGAAUACGUUCCCGGGCCUUGUACACACCGCCCGUCACACCACGAGAGUUUGUAACACCCGAAGUCGGUGAGGUAACCUUUUGGAGCCAGCCGCCG